RNAcentral lists this transfer RNA (54 nucleotides) under Brookesia superciliaris. RNAcentral describes it as "tRNA-Cys". Lineage: Eukaryota; Metazoa; Chordata; Lepidosauria; Squamata; Chamaeleonidae. The record is from RNAcentral.
AAGUUUGGGGCUUAUAUUUGCCUUGUUCAAAUUUGCACUUUGAUAUUCCAAACU